GAAUGAAUGGAAGGAAAGUGCUGUGUUGGUGAGCUGUGCUAAAUGCGUGCAUGAAUGGGUUAGGUUUGAAAAGCUCUACUCUCUGGGCCUUGUUGGGUGUGUGUGCUAGCGAGCGUGUUUAAUUAGAGAUGAUUGUUUCACAAAUUCCAUAAUUUUAAUUCUCUGUAUUUUUAAACUCACAGCAAUUAAGAGAGCUUUUCUGUUCUCAAGGGUUGUGACUACUUUGAAAUGCUGCAGCUUGUGAAAUGGCUGAUGGCUUUAAGUGCAAUGUAGGUUAGUGGGGAGAGACAAAUAGAGUAAGAUUGGAUUUUAAAAUGCCAUCUGGCCUGGGAUUCUUCUCAAUGCCAGUUAAGAGCCCAGGCUCAAGACUCCGUUGCUAUUGGCAUCCAAUGGCGUUGCAAGAAGCUGGUGAUUUCUUUCAUUUCUGGAGAUUCAAGAAUGUUUUUUUUUCUAUUUUGUCUUUAUUCACUUCACAUUGAAAAUGCCUCAAGGAGCUUAUGAUUAAAAUAUGCUUAUUCCUCACGUGCUCCACUACUUGGUUGAUGAAACCCUUUAUGGUCUGAGAAAAUAAGCAUAUUCCACUAAUUUCUCACAGAGAUAAUCAGCUUUUAUUACACCCUCCAUUAGCAGAAAACCAAAAGAGUAACAGAUCUCUCUCUUAGCCCUUUGAUCUCUUUGCCACACCUCUCCUCUGAGUCUGUGAGAUGUCCCACUCUUUUAAACUGAUAGGGAAUGUAAUCCCGUUUGAAUACUUUCUAAUGUGUUUCCAGGCCAAAUGGCAGAGCUAUAGUUUGAACUUAAAAGAGCAAAAUCGAUUUCAAAACCCUUUCAAUAUGGCACUCUUUUGAUGAGAGUAGUCCAAUUUCUUCUCAAGAGACUUCACCAUAUUUAUUCAUCCAUUUUAUUUUAUUUCUAUAAUAAAAGAUUUCAAGCUAUUUUCUCCCUGAUACCUAAGUGAGCAGUGAUUUUUUCCCCUGCCCAGAUUUUGAAAUAUACAUUUUAAAUUCAUUUCAUUCUGGUGGCCCACUGCCAGAAGUCACAUGGUAUAGUGGGUAAAAACAUUAGACUGAAUCUCAGCUCCACCACUUUCUAAUUCUGUGACCUUUAGGAAGUGUCUCUUGCCUCAGUUUUCGCAUCUAUAAAAUGGUAAUAAUAAUAUCUAUUUCACAAAAUUGUAAUAAAUUUGUUAAUCUACCUGAAAUUCAUAGGAUAGGACAUUUGAUGAAUGUUGACUAUUAUUAUUCACUUAUCAGUGGGUCACGGAAGAUUUACUCCUUUAAUAAGAAGUCAGCUAUACACUGAUGUAGUUAGUGACAUUUCUCUAUUCUGUGAUACUGCCUCCAGGUUUGGAUCCCCUGCUGGUGCCUGCCUUUGCGUUGCACAGGAUCUGGGUCACCAGAGUAACAGGCCUCCCAGGCAGGGAGAGAAAUAUGGGCAGUCAGUGUUGGAUGGGAUGCUUCUGAAGAGCAGGGUCCUGUAGGGCAGUGCUUGUAGAAAUCUCUCACAGCACUAGCUCACUGCCUUGGUAGGUGUUAAUGCUUGUUGAGUGAGUGAGUGAGUGAGUGAGUGAGUGAAUGAAUGAAAUGCUAAUACAAGCAGAUAGUUACUUCAAGACCCUCUUUGGAUUGCUAUAUAUUUUUUCAUGUGAUGUUUGCCUUCCCAACUGUGAAGAUCUGCAAUAGCCAAGGAAUUAUUCUAAUAUGAACAUCACUGAUCUCUGCCUCUAGUCAUUUUCCAUUCCAUUCCCCCACUGUAGCCAAGCUGGUCUUUUAAAAAAUCAGAUCUGAUCCUGUUCCUUCUCUGACUAAAAUUCUUGAGGGGCCUCCACUGAGCUUAGAUAAACCUAUUGACCUGGUCUCUGCUUGCCUUUCCAGCUUCAGCUUCACCUCUGAUCCCACCUCAAGCACCCCCUGACCCAUGGAUCAAGUGAGGUUCUUUCACUGAAGCUGAUGAGACUAUUGCUUUUGUGGAUUUUUCCUUUGUCUGGGUAUUCUUCCUUCCUCCUCUCUUCCCUUUUACCUGCCUUAAGUUCUCAGCUUACUGUUAUCACUAGUAUUAGUAGCUAAUAUUUAUUGGGCACUUGCCACUUGCCACACACGAUACCAGAUUUAUGACAUGCAUUUCAUUACUACAUCAACUCUUUGAACUCAAUACUAUCAUAAUUCCUAUUUUAAAGUUGGUGAAACUGAGGCCUAGAGAGAGUAAAUAAAUUGACCAAGGUUAUAGAGUACAACCUGUAAAACGAGGGUUUGAACUCGAGUUUAGAGAACUCCAAAGCUCUAGUCCCACCCACUGUGAUAUUAGACAUCACUUUUCCAAGCAUGGAAUUGGUUCUCCUUUUAUGAGCUCCUAAAACUCUCUAUCAACUUCCUUUUAUAUUUAUCAUAGGACAUGAUAAUUGCCUGUCUACCUUUCUGUAUCUCCCAUUGUGUAACCUGUAAGGGCUAGGAUCAUGUCUGCAUUGGUCAACAUUUUAUCAGCAAGGCUUUGCACACAAUAGGCAUGUAGCAAAUAUUUUGUUGAACAAAUGUUCUCAUGAUUUUAGGUCAGCCUUAAUUCUCCCUCCUUAUGACAUAUUUGGGGUUUCACAAGCAUUCCCCAUCAGUAGGGUCCUAAAAGUUCUAUUAUGAGCAUAGGUGGUUUACAGCUGUUUCUCCUUCUCUUUUUCCCUGUCCCUGCCUCUGUCUAUUGUUAUUGUUGUUUUGUUUGUUUUUAUAAAAAUCUUGAGAAGUUCCUUCUUAAUCAAAACAUCAUGUUUCAUUUAAUGAAUUUUCUUUCUUGAAAUUCAAGAAAGUAUUCUUGUGAAAGUUCAGUGUUUCCCUCAAUGGGGCCUCAUAGAUUAAUAAAGUAGAAGCCCUGUGUGCAGGAAGCUUAAGUUUUAGUGAAGGAAACUGUAUAUACAGAAAGUCAGUAAAUAAUGUUAAUUGUCUAAUAAUGUUGUAUCUUUAGAUUUUGAAUAUUUUUCACAUUUAAUACUUUGAAGAAAAUCAGCCUUUAGUGGCCUAUCAGAUUUUACAUGAUUCCAACUUACAUUUUAGGGAAAAACUGCAACUUCUCUCUUUGUUUUUAGAGACACGGUCUCACUCUGUCAUCUAGAUGGAAGUGCCGUGGCAUGAUCAUAGCUCACUGCAGGCUUGAACUUCUGGGCCCAAUCGAUCUUCCUUCUUCAGCCUCCCAAGGGGUUGGGAUUACAGGCAUGAGCCACUGUGCCCGGCCAAAAGUCAGUGUUUAAAUGUCAAAUAGUGUAAACAAAUAAUCUAAAAGAUGAUGAAGGACAAAUGACAGCUUGUGAGGAUUGAAUUUUUUGAUUAAAACUUUUGUAUAGAUAAUGUAUGCCUACAGUGCCAAAUUCAAAAGGUACAAAAGGAUAUGCAGUGAAAGUGGGUCUUGCCUUUCUACUAUCACUCUUGCACCUGCCUAACCAGUUCCCCUCCUUAGACACAACUGCUAAUGCCAUUUUCCUGAGUUUCUCUUCAAAGGUUCUUAGUAUCUAAUGAAUGAUUAACUGACAAAGCUUUCUUAAGCAAAAUUGCGAAAUAUAUCCUGUGCCCUUUUGCCCUUCUACUUUUUUUAAGUUUACUUGUCAUUUACCCUGUUGACUAGGAUUGCUCCUUUGUAACAGCAAUUUUAUCCUUUCCCAGGUACCAAUUGUUAGUAUGUGGGAUAAUUUGUCUCAGAGAAAGCCACACAAAUUCAUUCUUACAAAGUGAUAAUAGCUUAGUUAUUAUUGUUUCCUUGAGCUUUUGCAUUUUUAGGGGCCUCUUCAGGAAGAAGUCAGUGCUUAGCACAAGGUAAUAAAUUCCAAAAGUGGAAUUAGGUAUCACAUGGGGGAAUGGGGACAUAAAUGGAAGGGAUGGGCAGUAUAAUUUGGAUAGAUGUUCUUCUUUUAUUAUGGUGCUUAUUCGGACCUUCAUAUUUUGGCUUUGGGUUUAUUCUCUGGUUAGGAAAAAGCAUAAAUAUGUUCAUCCUGGAGACAAGUGAACAUCGAGAUAAUGUCUAAUAGCCAUAGCUAACAAAUGCCAAGUUUUUGAGUAUGUGUAAUUCCUAAAAGAUGGUAUUAUUAACCCUAGUCAAAAGUAAGGAAACUGAGGCUCAGGUAACUAAGGUUAAGUAACUUGUCCAAAGUUACACACAGUAAUAAGUUGCAAAAUGAGGUUUUUAUGAAAGUCUAAAGGUUAUUUUUGCAUGAAGUGCUUUUUUCCAGUUGUGGUUAAUCCUAAAAGAACAUUAAAUCAAUGUAGAAUAACUACCUAAAUUCCAUUUUACACAUUAAUGAUAUGCAAUCUAACUUGAAAACUAAAUGAAUCAUUAUACUUCCCUUCUCUCAUAAAUGAGAAUAUGUUGUCUUCACUUUAGUUUAAAAAUAAUAUUUCAGUCAUUUAUAUAACCCCCUAAAUUGCCUAGGCACAGUUUGUGCAUAAUCGUAUCUUAUUUACUAGCAGAGUGGAUGAUUGCUUUUUUAAAUGCACACAUUUCCUCAAACUUCUGUUUAGCUUCAAGUGAGAAAACUGCCCCAAACCAUAAUUAGAAAUUAUUCUGACGCUCACCAAGAUGGAAAGUGAAUGUGCUGGAAGCUCUUCACAUGGCAGCAGAUUAACAGUUCUUGAUAAAUCAUCACCUCCAACUAGUUAAAACAACUGCUCUUUUUCAGGAUUUAAAAUUUUUUUUUGACUCUUGAACAUGGCCUUGGCAGUAACGUUUGGAAAUUGAUGUGUCCCAGAGACUGAGAUACAUCCAAUAAUAUAAUCUACUUCUAUGCAGUUGAUCUUGAAAGCCUUGAAAAUAAGGAACAAAAUGAGUAGGGAGUGACUUCUAUUAGAUACUAUUAGCUGAAAAUGAGCUUUCUGCAGAGAUUCGUAGACUCAUUAGAGAACCAUUAUAAGACUAAGAAGGAAGAGCUGGAUCUCUUGUAAUUCAGAUAUGCAGGAAAUUUGCUUUUGCAUGUAUUUGAAUUCUCAUUAAGCUCAGAUUUCUUCAAAAUUAGUUUUUAUUGUAAUAAUGGUAGGUAUCUAUCCAUUAAUAUAAACCACAAAAACAGAAAAAUGUCCUUACGACUUUCAAACAAACAGAUUUACGUUCCACUGCCUUGUGUCAUAAGUGAAUUAUUCGUGGCAUCUUAUGAUUCUCAAUAUAAAUUUGGAGGUACUUGUUUUAAAAAUGAGUGCUGGUUAUUAUUAAUUUUAUGGGCUUUUGCUAUUAAAAUCUGUAACCAUUUCAGAAACCCUCAUUUUUUGACUAGAGAUUUUGACUAGAGAUUUCAGAAACCCUCAUUUUUUAAUUAGAUAUGUGUAGUGUUCCUUCCUCCUUAUCAAGGGAGUAUCAUAAUUAAAGAUAAAAUGACUAAAACCUUAAUAAAAGAGGUAAAAGUUUCAUUUAUAUAUUAUAUAGAACACAGUGCAGUAUUUAUUUUGGGUUGUCCAUAAAUAUUUACUUACCAUAACUGAAUCCUUUGAAGUUCCAUCAAAAUAUUCAACUGACCUUUGGAGUUAGCUUCCAUCACUUUCCUUAACUGAUAUUAGGUAUUAAAUCUGUCAGACUUCUCAGGCUCAUUUCACAAACAGGAGCUUUUCAUCUGAAUGGACAAGCAGGCAUAAUCGCGAGCAACAAAUCCCAUUUAAAUGUGUGUGUGUGUGAUGCCAUCUAGUUCACUUUGUCAUUGUCAAAUAAUUUAAUAAUGUACAUCAUCUUCCUGAAGCUGAUGCUGCUGAAGGAGCAGUAGAAUCACGUAGAAAGGAAUAAAUCACCAGACUUUAGACUUUUGUUUCUAAAUGCCUAAAUCAUCCAAGCAACUAUGACAAGAGGAAUCAGCAUGACAGAGUACAAAGAAAAGUACAAACUAAUACAGGGCUGGUUUAAUUUUGUCCAACAAAUCAGUGUGGACAAGAACCUGACUUAGUUGAGGUUAGCAAAUUAAAAGGUCUGUAUCAUCCAGCUUUUGCAGCUGGAUGGGCUUAUAGGGAUGUUAUUCCAGUGAAGAUAUGUACAUCAACAUUUUCCUCUAUUUGAGUAUGUGUAAGUAAAUAAAACUUUGCCUUUAUUAAAAGACAUUUUGCCUUGAUUAUUUCAUCAUUAUUUUGUUUAAGAAAUAUUGAAGUUUUCCAUAUUUUGUGUGGCAUUAAGUAUGAGUGCCAUGAUUGCAUGAAAAGUGACUCUGCUUUUGAUAGAAAGGGAUAAUAGUUUUGUUACUCAUAUCUGUUCGUACAUUCAGUACCUGUCUGUUACUUCUAGACUGAAUGUUUGGUGCUGGGGAGCUACAGAUGAACUGGACACUUCCACUGCCCUUGAGGACCUCCCAGUCCAGUGAGGGAGGCAGAUCAGUGACAGACACUUGCAGAACAGGAGGCAGAUUUCAUGACAGAACUCUGCCCAGUCCCACAGAAGCUCAAGGAGAUGUGUCUCACCCACACCAAGGCUUCCCAGAAGGAGCGAUUAUCGAGUGAGAAUUAACCAGGGAAGGCAGAGAAGGGCAACCUUCCAGAUACAGAGAACAGGAUGAAAUAGUAUGGAGGUAACAGUCUAGUGAAGAUUAAUUUUAUUAAUGUUGAAAAGAUAUAGAAUUGAGAAAAGCCUACCCCUGCCCUCUCAGAUCUUUUGAAAUUUCAGAACCAAUCCCAAGUUCACCGAAAGAAUCAUGUGCAUAACUGUAUUUCUUUGUUUGGGUCUAGAGGGAUUUGGCCACUUUGGAUACCUCAUUUCCAAGUGUACUUUCCUCUUACUCUUGCCCACGUGCUCCAUAAUGGUCUGGCACCUCUUCUUGUAUUCCUGACUAGCACAGUUUGGAACAAUGUAGCUCACUCUGGAGCUGAAGAAAGUCUACUUUAAGUCUGAAACUGAAAGAUUUCCUGAGGUUGCUAUUUAGAUUCUGGGAACUUUUUUUGACAUUUAGAUUCUGGGUGGGGGGUGUUCUAUAAGUAAUCAGUAUAUUCUUUGCUGGGGGAGUUUCCCUCUUGGCCCAUAAUUUGUCACAUUAGGGUGUAUCAGGCAAACCUGUCGUCCUGUAGUAUGUAGUUAUAUACAGAUGCUCCUCAACUUAUAAUGGAAUUAUAUCAUGAAAAACAUAUCUUAAGUUGGAAAUACAUAAAUUGACACACUUAAUACGUGUAACCUACAGAACAUUAUAGCUCAGGCUGCACUACCUUAAACAUGCUCAGAACACUUACAUUAGCCUAUAGUUAGACAAAAUAAACACAAAGCCUACUUUAAAAUAAAGUAUUGAAUAUCUCAUGUAAUUUAUUGAAUACUGUACUGAAAGUGAAAACAAAAUGGUUGUAUGAGUACUCAAAGUAUGGUUUCUAUUGAAUUUAUAUCACUUCUGCGGCAUCGUAAAGUCAAAAUAUUGUAAGUUGAACCAUUAUAAAUUAGGGGCCAUCUGUACAUUAUCCAUGUCAAUGGCAAAUAAGACAAAACUAAUCAAAUCUCUCCAUUUUGACUGUAGUCAUGAUUGAAUCUCAAGUGCAGCCUAAACUGAGAAUGCAUCUAUAAUUAUGGAUUGAAUUUUGCAUGCGCUACAGGAGGCAGCCAGGUGGGGAAUACUCAGUGUCCUGGGGGCAGGAGACACUGGUUUUGAUUUUUGCAGUGAUAUUCAGAUCAAAUAGCUGAGGGAUUUUUUUUUUCUUUUUGGAGCCCGGGUUGUGACGGGGGGAGAAAGUAUAGGGUGGGAAAGAAGAUGGGGGAAAGUGGAUGGGGAGUUGAUGAUAACUUACAUUUAUGAAAUGGGAUUGGAGUUUGAUGAAUAAAAAAUACUGGAUUUUAUUCAAUCAAAGACAUUAUACUUGUUCUACUUAAUUAGCUAAUCAUAUGAACUCAUGCCUUGUUAAUGAUAAUCCUUUACGAGAUGCAGUUGAAUUUGCUAAAUCUAUUUUGAAAGUUCUGCUUACUCAACCAUUUAUAGCUCAUUUGAUAAGUAAUUUUUUCUAUAGAAGACUUUAAAUAAAAAUCAUUGAAAUAGCAUAGGAUCCUAGACCCACAUAUUUUCUGCCAUCACACAUCACUUUCCUCAGUGUCUGUCAUUUGAGGUUUUUGGGUGGUAGUUGUGAACCAGUGGCCUGAAGAGAUGGAGAGCAAAUGGUGACAAGGUAUGUGCCGUAAGUUGUGUUUUCUAUUAUAACUAAGUCUUGACUUGCCCAUGGUAAUUCUUUCUUAUAAACCUUCCAUAUAUAUAUAUAUAUAUAUAUAUAUAUAUAUAUAUAUAUACACAUAUACUGGUUUCUAUUCCUGAUACUGAAUUGUUAGUUUUCCAAUAUUUAACUUUUGGCUUCCAAAACUACAUGAAGUUAGCUUUCUAAGGAAAGACAAAAAAAAAAAAGAUACCUAUAUAAAAAAGUAACCUUCCUAUUAUAGUUAGCUGUGUACACAUUAGCCAAAUGAGGUAUAGGUGUAGCUAUUUUUUUUUUAAUACGGAGAUAUACUUGUGGUAAACCUAAACAUUUCUAGCCUCAAAUGAUUUAAAAACCUGAAAUUGAUGAAUUAAUCUUAGUGACAUUUCAAAAUAAUGAAAACCAUAGCCAUUUUAUUCUUUUAAUUAUUUUUCGAGUCAUAAGGGAACCAUCAUUUCAGGAAGAAAGAUCAUUAUAACUACAGUUUGGCUUUGGGUCAUAUUUUAGGCCAUUUAUGAUAUAAUCAUAUUUUCCAGAUCAACAGUUUUAUGUGAAGAGAUUUAGAUCUAGUACUUUAUUUUGAAAAACCCAAACCAUUUAAAAAAUCUUGCUUUUGGUGUUUUCUAACUUUCUGGAUGUCAUUCUAGUUCUCCAUCAGGGACCCUGGUUUUUCAGCUCCCUUUUCUCUGAAAAAUACACAGUUGGGAGGUAUGUCACUGAUUUUUCAUUUUUGUCUUUUGUUACUUUCAAACUAAGCAUUAUUAAGGCUUCAGGCCUCCCUAAUCUCUGAGUCUCCCCAAACCACCCCAAAUAUAGAAACAGUCCAAUUGUGACUAGAGCACAGCUUCAAGACAAGGCUUUUAUACCAUUUUUUCCCUGGUUGCUGCUCUCUGCCCACUAGUGGGUCAUGAAAUCAAUUUAGUGGGGCAUGACCCGAUCUUUGAUUUUUAUUGUAAUAGAAUCAGUAGGAAAUGUCAGAGUUUACUGCCACAUAGCAUCAUCCAGGUAAGUAUUGUUUCAUAAAACUUGUUUUAUUUUUACACAUUGUGUUUGUGUAUACUGAGUAGGUAAAUGAAUUUCUUACACUAGGUCAUGGUAAAAAAUGAAUGUGAAAAAUCCACUGCAAAACCUUUCAACCGGAUUGCGCCAUUCAGCUUCUUUAUAGAAAUUCUGCAGGGUCAUGCCUGUUGGCCAGUUGGGUCCUGGGAAUCAUGGCCAAAAUCUCAGCAUUACCUUCUAUCCAGUCAUGUUUGAUUUCCUGUCACUCGUGUUGACUCCUUACAGCGAUGGUUUCAUGACUGUUUGGACCCCUGUCCAUUCAGUAAACUAGUGUUGAGUCUGUAGCUCUGUGUGUGGCCUGGUAGAUGUGAUUGGGGAACAGGAAGAGGAAGAAGAUCAUCAACUUCACCAUUUGCUAGAAGCUGAUUCUACCUCUUCUUUGGUGAUAAGUUUUAACACAGUUAAGGAAAGUUUAUGUUGAUUAAGAUAAAGUGUAGUUUUCAUUCUAAACUUGCAUCUUUUGCACUUUUCAGAGGCAGGGAGGGGGAGAUUUGCUGGCAGUAGCGUUCCCUGAAUCCUUUGCCAGGGGUUGUACCCAGUAGGAAGCAGCAGCAUCCAGGUGGGGGCUGAGACCUACACAGACACUGGGAGGUAUCAGGGUCCAACAUCAGGAUUUGACCACAGAUACUCUUGAGGUAGGGAUCGAAACUCAGAACACUUACUUUGGUUCAGAGAACUCCAGCAAGUAUCCAGAUACAGAAUGUGCUAAAAUGUAAUUAUAAUGUUCAUGUCAUUCUCAGAUCACUGGCGAAAGGCCUGAAAGAGAUCUUGGAAAUCACUGGCUUCACUCUCUUUCCUUCACACUUAUGCAACACUAGAUAAGCGGAAAUCCUGCCUUAUCAACAGAAUAUUGGCAUGUGUCAAAGGCACUUGACUUCCAUUGAGCAAAUGGGCAGUUUGAUCUCAGAGCACUGGGUUUUUCAUUACCUCAGAGGAAGAUAAAGCCACUCAUCCAAAGGCAGCAAAAUUCAGGAGAUGGAGAAGAAGAGAAGGAAAGCAAACAGUGUAAGUGGAAAGUCUCAGGCUUUUCCCAGUAAAUCAGCGUUUUCAAAUAUCAAAGAGUCUCCUGCAUUAAUGCUACAGAGUAUUUCUGUACACUUAGAAGUGGUACACUGAUUUGUAAACCAAAUUACAAUGUUGUGAUAUUAUAGCCCAGGAUGGCAGGUGUUCAGAAAGCAUACCACUUAUUAAAAUGGCCAUAUGAAAGCCCAGCACAUUUUCUGUUCUGUUGACUCCAGUCUCAUUUCCACUGUUUCUACUUUCCCCUGCUCGUCAUUGAACUGCCCACCUGCUCCCAGAUCCACAAUUGCUUGAGAUAAAGAAUCAGCAUGAGGUACUUCAGUCUUCAUCACUCCUCUAGUGUGCACGCCUCUCACUCCACCCAGGUGUCUAGAGACACAUGCUUCUAAGCUGACUUGGGAGGCAGACUGCUUGACUCCUGGGGAACUUGUUGAGAGGUGGCAUUCUCUUCCUUUCCAUGUGCCAUGAGGACCGGCAGAGGACAGCUAUAAAUCCAGAUUGUGGUUCCAGUGCUUAUUAGCUGUGUGGCCUUGAGCAAGUAGAGCAUCACUUUCAUCAUCUAUAACGUUGGGGUGGUUUUGACUACCCUAUAGCUUUGUUAUGAUGACUGCAUACAGUAAUACAGGUAAGGUACUGAGAAGUACCAUGCACAGAGUCGUUCUUCGAUCAGUGAUCAAUCCCUUUUCUUUCUGCCUUUUUUGCUUUUUGUCUUUCCAAAGCACUGUUAUUCAAGUCCCUAAGGAUUGAGGCUGUGCUUGUCUCUUGGUAUCUUCUCUUCCUGGAAACUGGAAACCUCCAUCCAUUGGACUGUGGCCAGACUGCCUGUGGCCUGCCCAGACUGAGAUUCUGUCCAGCAGUUGGGACUCAUGGCUCUUGUGUUUUGGACCCCUAUGCUGACUCCACCUGAAACACUCCAGGAGGUUGGUAAGACCAUUGAGGUAUACACUUGAACCUCAGCUGGCAGCCAGGCCAGUUCCCCAGCAUCUGUGCCACGCUACAUGUAGGUCUCAUGUGGGUACUGAGCUCCUCUCCAACUCAUGGUUUUAGGAGUAGGUCAUCAGACUCAACUGAGUCAAAAGUUACUAUGCAUUCUAUAAUUUUUCAUCCUUCUGAUCUUCUAAGUGAAUGAAUACUUAGAGAUAUUUCUGCCACUAAGUUUAUCAUCUGAUCUUGAAGUGGUCAUGUAUUGGUAUUUAGAUUUUAAUUCACAUUUUAAGUAUCUUUACACAUUCAAUGUCUUUUCCAUUUUAAAUACUUUAAAAAUUCCUCUUACAUUGCAGGUGAAAUUCCACCUGGAAUUGAGUCUCAGUUCCACUUCUCAGUUACAUCAUCUUGGGCAACUAACAAGUUUCAGUUUCCUAUAAAAUAUCUUUAUGCCUUCUACUUGGCAUGGUGGCUCACACCUGUAAUCCCAGCACUUUGGGAGGCUGAGGUGGUCGGAUCAUGAGAUCAGGAGUUUGAGAGCAACCUGACCAACAUGGUGAAAUUCCGUCUCUACUAAAAAUACAAAAAUUAGCUGGGUGUGAUGGCGCACACCUGUAAUCCCAGAUGUUCAGGAGGCUGAGGCAGGAGACUCGCUUGAACCUGGGAAGUGGAGGUUGCAGUGAGCCAAGAUCGCGCCACUACACUCCAGCCUGGGAGACACAGCGAAAUUUCGUCUCAAAAAAAACAAAAAACAUACACACACACACACACACCUCUAUGCCGUCUUCCCAAGGACGUUGAAGAUCAAAGUUUUCUGAACGCUGUGAUAACAUCCAACAGUGAUUACAGUGGUAAUGUUAUGAUGAGUGAUGGAUUGUACGUAUGGUAAUAGUAAUAUUAUUACAUAUGGACUGGAGAUAACUAGCCUAUUCUUGAUGAUAUAUCGGAUUGACUAGAUUUGACCAAUGUCCUUUGCACAAUAACAUUGACACUAAGCUCUGACAACCUUAGAGAGAGACAUCCUAAUAGAAAGAGACUACUCUUAGAAAGCUUUAGUCACCCCCAAAGACUCAGACCUACCACUUACUAGCAAGGUGAACUUGGCCAAAAACUUUUGAUACAGUUUUGUCAUCUGUAAGAAAGGGUGACACUACUUUUAUUUAUUUAACAGGCAAUUGUUGAGUACUUACAACAUGCAAAAUAAUAAACAAAUAUGAUGCCUGUUCGGAGCCUGUAGUUUAAUUGGAGAGAUAAACAUGAAAUAAAUAAUCAUAAAUAUAUGUGUGUAAUUAAAAAUGCCAGUAAGUGUCUUAAAGGAAAAACACAACUUGUCUCACAAAAUUGUAAAACGUCAAUAAAAGACUUUUUCUGCAAAAUACCUGAGUAUCAGCUUUUAGAUGAGACCAGUGUUACCUGUGUUACAGAGGGAAAUUACCCAUGCUGUUGCUCCUGUUUGUACACCGCUAAUUUUAUUCUUAGUAAUAUUCCCUUUCCCUACUGGAGGGACUAGAAUCCUGCCCCUGUACUCCAGCACCAUGGGCACUUGCCUCUGGCCAGCUCUGACUUCUGGACCCUGUAGUCUGCCUCUCUCUUCAUUACAACCACAUCUCUUCUUUAUCUCCCAACUUCAUCUGUCAUGUACUCCUGCUACCAUGCUUUCCUGAGAUCCAGCCCCGCCUGCUUGGGCUUUCAUCCACCACACAAUGCAUCUCCAUUGUGCUUCAUGUAGUUUUCAGGUUCAUAGGCCCCUUCCAGUGUUACCUACCUUCUCCCAGCUAAUCCUUUCACCCACAAUAAACAACAGCAAUAUCAUUUAUCAUGUAUUUCCUGUGUGUCAGCACUUUAAAUCCAUCUUUCUCUCUAGCUGUCUUGGCCCUCUUCCAAGCCCUGGAAGCAGUCUGGCUCUUAGCAGAAGAAAUAAAGGGUCCCUUCUUACUAUUAGCAGAAGAAAUAAUAGGUCUGUUAGUCAGCCUCAUCAUUCUGCUGAUGGUCCUGCCGCUACAGGACCCCUAUUCAUUUCAUAUGCUCAGGUAGUGCCUUGGUACCAUUAACUGGGUUUACCUCUUGACCCCUUUUGUUGGUUUCCUGCCUAGAUUCCCUGCAAAAGACCCCAAGGCUGACCUCUAGUCCUCAUAUGAGAGAAACUGUUAAACAUACUGCUAUGCCCGUUGGUGCCAUGUACUGCCAGCCCUCUAAUACAUCUGCUUGGUAAUUCAUUGGGCCAGACACCAGCCUGCCUUAUGCUGGGCUGUGCCCUCAGCCUGGCCCCUUCUGUGGGGGCCUCUGAUGCCAGCUGCCAUUCUGAGUCUUCUUCCUUUUGCCCAGAGUUGGAACCAUCCCUGGUCACUGGCCUUGUGCUAGUGGGCCAUUUUACUGACUGGACUUAAAACCAGUGUGUGCAUUUAUAUUUUAAAGUGUUUAUUAGGUUUAGCCUUUUUUUUUUUUUUUUUUUUUUUUUUGAGACGGAGUUUCACUCUUGUUACCCAGGCUGGAGUGCAAGGGCACGAUCUCGGCUCACCGCAACUUCUACCUCCUGGGUUCAGGCAAUUCUCCUGCCUCAGCCUCCUGAGUAGCUGGGAUUACAGGCAGGCACCACCAUGCCCAGCUAAUUUUUUUGUAGUUUUAGUAGAGACGGGGUUUCACCAUGUUGACCAGGAUGGUCUCGAUCUCUUGACCUCAUGAUCCACCCGCCUUGGCCUCGCAAAGGUUUAGUCUUUUAGGAAUUUUGAGGUACGAUGCCUUACUGAGGCACACACACUCUUAAUUUUCCAUCUGUCUCCCCUCCUCCUGUAGUAACUAGCUAUCAAUUAAAUGCUACAUUUCUGUCUCGGUUUAACAAACUUGUUCUUGGAAUGCUCACUAAACUGACUUUAGUCCAAUUUUGAAAAAUUUGUAAAAUUCUUUGCUGGCAGGAAAGAAAUUUUACUGUGUUUAAUUAAACAGAUUAAAAUGUGAUUUUCCCAAUUGUCAAAACUGUUUUUGAUAGAUUUCCUGUGUUUUGUGUUGCUUUUUGUAAAAGAAAAAUUAUUCACAUUAUUGUAAUUCCAUAUUGUGCAGAACAGGAACAAAGGAAAUGAUGCAGAUCCUUUGGCAGAAAGGUCAUUUGAGUCACUGGAGUGUCUUGAACCAUAGGGGAAUUAGAGCUCCUAUUGAUGCGAUGCACAGCACAUUUCUUCAGAUGAAGACACCGCUCAUUUCUGUGGAUGUUUUUCAUCUGAAUAUCUGUGCUGAAGGAGAGCAACAGAGGGAUACUUACUUGUAAACAAAAGGGGGUGGUGCGAAGAGGAAAUGAAUACUUCAUAGAACUCUAAAAUCAACCAACCAGAUUUUCAGAACCUCUCACUUUUAAUAAGUCCUGCCAUUCUUUAUCUCUUAGAACAGAGAUCACUGAGAGAAUUAAAGAGUAGGCUUAGUAAUGAUGGAAACACAAAUUCUGAUUGGUAAUCCAGGAUAACAACUUUAAAGUAAUAGACCUUGAUGUUCUAACACAGGGGUGUCUGAUCCUUUGGCUUCUCUGAACCGCAUUGGAAGAAGAAGAAUGGUCUUGAGCCACACAUAAAAUACAUUAACAAUAGCUCAUCAGCUUAAAAAAUAUCGUAAAAAAUUAUCCUAAUGUAUGAAAAGUUUAUAAAUUUGUGUUGGGCCACAUUCAAAGCCAUCCUGGGCCACAUGUGGCCCAUGGGCCAUGGGUUGGACAAUCUUGUUCUAACAAGAAAGGAUGACAAAGAUGCUGGCUCCUGACUACACUGGGUGGAUGUUUACUGCUGAACACACACAGCACUGUACUAGGAGGUCUCCAAGGCCUCCAUGUCAUCCUUGGGUUAAUUAAAAUAUGGAAUGAAUUUAGCGACACAGGCAGCUCUUCUUUCUGAUGAUUCAGUGUGAAGGAAGAGGGUAGUUUUGCAGAGAAAAAAUCCUUACAGUGUUUCUGUCAAGGAUUAGCCUGUUGAUGAGGAAAUUCAGACAAGAAAGGCCAGUGUAACUUUUGGUUAACAUUUUGCAUGAUUCAGACUGACUAAACCUUCAGUUCCUGGUAACUGCAUUUGAAUUUGAGUCUGGAGCUACCUCCAGACUCAGACGAGCAAUCAUGUUCAUAGGUCAAUGAUUUUACAUUCUGGUCGGAUUUCUUUAGGUUGCAAACAACUGAAACAUAUUCCUGCAAGGAGGAGGAGGAAAAUUGUAAGGAUAGACUCAAAUUGAAACUACAGAAUCAUUAGGAACAUGAAGUCUUUCUCCUCGUGCCAUCUCUUCUCGCCAUCCACCUGCUUCAUUCAAUUCUCUGGUUUACCUUAAGCUUCCUUGUGGUCCACCUGAGUUUACUUAAUAUUCCUGUAACCUAGCUGCUGUGGCAUUCUGACUCAGAUUUCCAGUUUCUCAACUUAAAAUGCUUAAAUGGAGAGCCUCAUGGGCCCAUAUUAAUUUUUGAUGCAUGCAACCAAGUGAUAGGUAGCUGGCUAGCCUAUGAAUAAACUGAAUUCAAUUUAGGUGCCCAACUUUGGUUCAACCAGAUGUAGCUUCAGAGGCCAAGAUCAGAGUGGGUUUGCUUAGAGCAGCAGGCAGAUUCUUGCGUAUAAAUAAGCAGGCAGUGAUUGGUGUCUCCUAUGUAGCUGGCCUCCUGCUAACAAGUGAAUGCAAACACUGACCUAUUGUGAAAGAGUGCCUUGUGUGGGGAAACCACAUUCUGAUCUGUUAUUCAAUUGAGUUUUAAAAUUCAAUGAUGACCACCUUUCUCUCCUGUUGAAAGGUGGCCUGUCCUAUAUCCCCUGAGUGAGACACAGAUCUCUCCUACCCUAAGUGAGAUGUAAGAUGUAAUGUAAAAAGCUAUUGCUGUAGGAAGAGUGGACAUCGGGAAGAAAAGGGGCAAAUAGGAAGAGAGAAGGAGAAGAAGAAAUGAGGAAAAACUAACUGGAAAUAAAAUCUUCAGUUUCCACUCAGAAAUUUGAUACAUCUCCGUGACAUUAAGCCAUAUGCUAGAGGAUUGGGGGAGGGGUGGCAGGAGAAUGGAGGGAGAGGCAGAGGCAAAAGCAGAGGAAGGGAGGUGGGAUUGAAACAAGGGGAGAAAGAAUAGAAAGGAAAGGAUUUUGGAUAUUAAACCUCAGAAAGUAGAAAUACCACCUUGAUGUCUUUGGCAUGAUGUUGCCAAAGGAUAGGAUAAAAGGUGGACUUGAAAUGGACAUGAUCAAGUGGGCCAGGUGUGUAUUCCAUUUUCCCUUCUCCCAAAAGCCCACCAGUAGACAGUUGACAUAGUUUAUGCCUUAUGCCCCUACCCAGAUCUCAUCUUGAAUUGUAGUCUUCAUAAUCCCCACAUGGCAAGGGAAAGACCAGGUGGAGGUAAUUGAAUCACUGGGGCAGUUUCCCGGUGCUGUUCUCAUGAUACUGAGUGAAUUCUCACGAGAUCUGGUGGUUUAUAAGGGGCUCUUCCCCCUUUGCUUGGCAUUUCUUCCUACCACCUUGUGAAGAAGGUGCCUUGCUUCCCUUUCACCUUCCGCCGUGAUCUUAAGUUUUUCUGAGGCCUCCCUAUCCAGGUUCAAGAGUGAGUCAAUUAAACCUCUUUCUUCUAUAAAUUACCCAGUCUCAGGCAGUUCUUUUUAGCAGUAUGAAAGCAGACUAAUACAACAAGUUUAUGGGCAAUUGCUGGAGCAGUACAGCUCACAGCAUGAAUGUCUCAACUUCUGACCUGCCCCAGUCAGACAUGCACUAGAAAAUAAGUGUCUGGCUGUUCCUGAUGUCAUUGCAGAUGGCAUUUAACUAUUGGGAUAGAUUCAUUUGGCUUUAAAAUGUAACUUGAAGCCUGGUGUGAUGGCUCAUGUCUAUAAUCCCAGUAUUUUGGGAGGCCAAGGAGGGAGGAUGGCUUGAAGCCUGGUGAUUGAGAUCAGCCUAGGCAACGUGAAGAGACCCUGUCUCUUAAAAGAAAAAAAAUACUAUCUGGGCAUUGUGAUGCACACUUGUGGUGCCAUCUGUUCAGGAGGCUAAGGCAGGAGGAUUGCUUGAGCCUAGGAGGUCAAAGCUUCAAUGAGCCAUGUUUGCACCACUGCACUCCAGCCUGGAUAACAGAGCAAGACCCUGUCUCAAAAAUAAAUAAGUAGGUAAGUAAAUUAGUUAAUUCAAUGUACCAUGAUGUUUUCUUUGAGCAUGUACCCUUUAGGAAGGACAGAAGGACCUCUUUAUUCUUUCACAUAUCUUCACUUGUUUUUUGCAUUAACCAUCUAUCCUAAAUUGAUGCCAUAUAGUCUGGCCUGCAGAUUCACGUAUGUCAAGGUUUCUAAAUAUUUGAUCUUAGGCACUGUCUUGUAUUGCACAAAUCACUAAUCUUUUAUGCUUCUUUCUUGAUAAUCAAAAAUAUGCUUGCUAAACUCCUGAAUUCAUCCUCCUAACCCUAGCUCAGAUGCCCCUUCUCCUUGAAGCUCCCCAGACUCCUGGAGCUAUCAUGUUCCCCUGUGAUGCUAAGUACUAAGUGUCAACUUGAUUGAAGGAUACAAAGUAUUGAUCCCGGAUGUGUCUAUGAGGGUGUUGCCAAAGGAGAUUGGCAUUUGGGUCGUGGGCUGGGGAAGACAGACCCACCCUUAAUCUGGGUAAGCAUAGUCUAAUCAGCUGCCAGCAUUGCUAGAAUAUAAGCAGGCAGAAAAAUGUGAAAUGAGAGACUGGCCUGGCCUCCCAGCCUACAUCUUUCUCCUGUGCUGGAUGCUUCCUGCCCUAGAACAUCGGACUCCAAGUUCUUCGGUUUUCGAACUUGGGCAGGAUCUCCUUGCUCUUCAGCCUGCAGAUGGCCUAUUGUGCGACCUUGUGAUUGUGUGAGUUAAUACUUACUAAGCUCACCUUUAUAUGUAUGUAUCUAUUCCAUUAGUUCUGUCCCUCUAGAGAGCCCUGACUAAUACAGCCCCAUACCUUUGUCAGCACAUAGCACUCCGUAUUGUACUUACUUAUUUGGAUAGUUUCUCACACAUCUGUGAACUCCUUUCCCACAGCACCUGUAACCUUUUCACUUCUCAGCCCCUAGCACAGAGCACAGUGAGGAGCAUGCAGUAGGUGUUCAGUGAAUGUGAGUAGACUAUAUUCAAUAUAGUUUAGUACUCACAGUAUUCUCAGGACCUACCCUGCGGGGCCACUUUGUAGGCUGAACUUUGACACGGGACUUCAAAUCAGGAUGCCUGUGGUUAAGCCUAGCCUUGUUCUUAGGAGUAUGUGGCUUUGUUCACCAUGUUCCCGGGCCUAGUUUUCUCGUAGAUGAAAUAUGGGUAAUGAUUCCUGCCACUCAACACUUUUGUGAAGAUGAAAUGAAAAAAAUAUAUGUGAAAAGUCUUCAUAAUGUUAAAGUGCAAUUUGUAAGGAAGAUAUCAUCAAAACCAUUCUUUUGGAAUUUCAGAAACGAAUCCUCUUUAGAUGUGAUCCAAGACAGAUCUCUCUUUUGCUGAAUCCUGCUCUAUGGCAUAGAAGUUGAAAGUUAUACUAUUGUGAGAAUAAUAAAUAUGAAACAUCUAGUGGAGCACAUAGCAUAUAUUGUAGUCACUCAGUGAUAGCUGCCAUUACUAUUAUUACUACUGCUAUUAUUCAGAUAACGUAGUGUUUCCUCGGCGGGCUUGGAGGAAAGCAGUUGGGUGAUCUGAGAAGGGUAGCAAAUUUUCAGUCCUUGUGCAGUCUGUCACUUUCAUCCCUGAACAAGCAACUGAUUUCUUACUUCCUUUCUCAACACUGUAAUCUUUCCUUCCUUGUGUCCUGUGAGGAUGACUUUGAGCUCAGAAAAGUCCUGUAAAAAUCGAGGUGAGUGUUGCUAUCCUCUUGAGCAUGUGCUUUAAUUCGCUUAUUAUCUGCAUCUGUCGGACAUGGAGCCUUUAUCAAGGAUAGUGAGGCUCUCAAAAUUCUGGUGUUUGUCUGUAGGGCUGAUAUGCCACUUUAUUUAGAAGGUGGGGUGGAGAUGGAAACUUUCCAAGUACUUGAUGCCAUUGAGCCUUGUUAAUUUGUGAAAGAGUUUUGUACUUGCCCUCUUUCUUUUUAACCAUUCUUAAUUUUCCAAUCCUGCUUUUUGUUGGCUUCAAAUGUGCUCACCAGAAUCCUGCCAGCUUUAGUUGGAAGAAAUAUAUUUCCGAGCUUAGUUGGACAUCAGUUUUUUUUGGGCCCUGCCCAGACUUUUGACAGAGAAGGUAGUGUUAAGGAGGUUGAUGGUGUCUAGACAGUAAAAUCAGAAACUGUGUAAUUUAUGUUGUAUUACAGACAUCCACUUCCCGGAUUGGAAAAAGGAAACUUACUUUUAUCUAAGGAAGUUACAUUAAAAACCAAAGCCCCUGGGUAUUUCUGACCUAUGAAAAGUUGAAGCUUGAGUAGUUUUACAUAACAUUCUCUAGCCCCUUCAAAGACUGGAAUUAUUGAGAGUAGUCCUGUGUAAGGCCAAGUAUGAUAAAUAAACUUCCAAGUUUCAGAAGAUAAUUCAUAGAACCAUAUAGCAGUCUUUCCUGGCUACUCACCUCUGCCUAGACCCCUGUGAGCUCACAAUGCAUGGGGGUCUUGCACAUCAGUUUCAGAGGGAUUUUGGAAAGUUGAAGAGGAGAGAGGCAAAUAGCAAAAGGGGAUGGAGGUGUUUGGAACUUUAAAGAAGAUCAAAGGUCUGACUCAGGGUCCUGCCCUUAAAAAAAUCAGACUUUAAGGAAAAAGCAUGUUGAUUUGGAAAAAGUAUAACAAAAAAGUACCUUAAUUAUGCAAUGAUAUUUUGUUUCUUUUUUUUUUUUUUGAGACGGAGUUUCGCUCUUGUUACCCAGGCUGGAGUGCAAUGGCGCAAUCUCGGCUCACCGCAACCUCCGCCCCCUGGGUUCAGGCAAUUCUCCUGCCUCAGCCUCCUGAGUAGCUGGGAUUACAGGCACGCGCCACCGUGCCCAGCUAAUUUUUUGUAAUUUUUAGUAGAGACGGGGUUUCACCAUGUUGACCAGGAUGGUCUCGAUCUCUUGACCUUGUGAUCCACCCGCCUCGGCCUCCCAAAGUGCUGGGAUUACAGGCGUGAGCCACCGCGCCCGGCCUUUUGUUUCUUUUUAUACUGGUUAAUGCUUAUAAAUAUCAGAUACAUCCUCAAUAUUCAUUAUUGUGGAAAAUGAUAGAAAGAAAAAAUCUUAAGCUUGGCAAAAUUUAUGUGGGACUAAAGGCUUUUAAAGCCUAUGUCAGGUUUUGUUUUGACGUGUAUCAUCAUCCAGUUUCUCAAUUAGAACCCUGAGUUUCUUUCAGAAAAGUAUGAACUUCUUUUUGUAUAACUAUGAGACAUCCUAUUAGAGGCUACUAUCUGAACUGUUUUAGAACACAUAUAUUUAAAAUGCUGUAAUCUUAUUAGGAUUAUGAAUUAUCUGCUUUUCUAUCAGUCUUAAAAAUUUUAAAUAUCUCCUAACAUAGGAAAAUUAGUAAAAACUCCAUUACAGAAGAAUUGUCUUGUUAUUCUUACUAGAUACUAGAUCACCCUACCUGAGUUAAAUUUCACUUUGAUAGUUUCCAGCUGAUUGUGCCUGGGUCCUAGUAGACACACAACAAGCGUUAGUUGAACUGUAUGUUGAGUUCUUUAUAAACUUUACAUUGAAAGCACUUUUUAAUGUGUGUUAACUAGAUGAUUAAAAUUUGUCUUGAAGAGCAGACAGUUUUAGAAAACAGAUGUAAGAACCAAGAGAAAAAUUUGUCUUGAAGAGCAGACAGUUUUAGAAAACAGAUUUAAGAACCAAGAGAAGAGUGUCAUGUAUAAGGUAUUGAUUACUAAAUACUGAUGAUAUGUAUAAUGUGCAGAAAUCUCUGUAGCAGCGAGGGAUGUAAUGGAAGCCUUUUCCACAGCCUUGUAGCCCUCUGGCAGAGAGCUUAGAGAUCAGAACUAUGUCAGACACUUGGGAAGCUGCAGUCCCAUGACAUUUGCUCCCAUGUCACUCAGUUUAGGAUUUUUAAGUUGUUGGCUUCCCAGGGUGUGAUAUUCAAUGUUUUUCUUUAUCUUCCACAGUUCUAGCAGAAUGCAGAAAAGGUAGAGGGUACAGUAGGAAAGUCCUGAUUAACUGGCGAAUUGUCUGUACAGAAGGAUGCUUAGUAACUCACCUAAGCCGGAACAUUUGUAUUCUACCCCAGUUUAUUAUGGCAGAAUGCAAAGAUAGUGAAACUGCAGAAAUAACAAUGACUGACUAUAAUAGUCACCAUUAAUUAAGCAUACCUAUCAGUUUACUUAAUCUUUACAAUUCUAUAAAUUUAAUCACAGUUUACAAAUGAGCUAGUUGGAGUUCAACAAAGUUAAACACCAUGACUAAGAUCACAAUCUUAAUAAAGACAAGUUAUUUCUACUCAAA
Callithrix jacchus (white-tufted-ear marmoset) is the source of this 21391-nucleotide non-coding RNA. The record is from RefSeq and is a predicted model, not a curated record. Lineage: Eukaryota; Metazoa; Chordata; Mammalia; Primates; Cebidae.